UUCAUUGUUUCUCUCACUUUUGGUUUAAGUGCUGCUUUCAGAAUCGGAUGAUGACAUCACCGAUGACGGUUCAGAUGACGAACCCUUGGUUAAGAUGAUGACCAGGAAGCCAUCAAAUGAGGAGCUGAAAACAACAGGUUUUAAAAUGUACGCUCGUCAUGACCUGUCAAACAAGAAGUCCUACAUCAAGGAGACAGUGAAAAAGUUGUCGGAGUGAAGUCUGGAGUUCUAUGCUAAUCACCACCUUCCAUGAGGCAGCAGGUAGCCUAGUGGUUAGCAUUGGGCCAGUAACCAAAAAGGUUUC
Long non-coding RNA from Oncorhynchus kisutch (coho salmon), 304 nucleotides. RefSeq lists it as uncharacterized. The transcript has 3 exons. Lineage: Eukaryota; Metazoa; Chordata; Actinopteri; Salmoniformes; Salmonidae. The record is from RefSeq and is a predicted model, not a curated record.